CGGCGGACGGGUGAGUAACGCGUGGGUAACCUGCCUCAUACAGGGGGAUAACAGUUAGAAAUGACUGCUAAUACCGCAUAAGACCACAGCACCGCAUGGUGCGGGGGUAAAAACGUACCGGUGGUAUGAGAUGGACCCGCGUCUGAUUAGCUAGUUGGUAAGGUAACGGCUUACCAGGGCGACGAUCAGUAGCCGACCUGAGAGGGUGACCGGCCACAUUGGGACUGAGACACGGCCCAA
RNAcentral lists this ribosomal RNA (240 nucleotides) under uncultured bacterium. Its description in RNAcentral is "partial 16S ribosomal RNA". It matches the Rfam family "Bacterial small subunit ribosomal RNA", at positions 96 to 334 of the family's 1533-position model. The record is from RNAcentral.